RNAcentral lists this ribosomal RNA (253 nucleotides) under uncultured bacterium. Its description in RNAcentral is "partial 16S ribosomal RNA". It matches the Rfam family "Bacterial small subunit ribosomal RNA", at positions 524 to 776 of the family's 1533-position model. The record is from RNAcentral.
UACAGAGGGGGCAAGCGUUAUUCGGAAUUAUUGGGCGUAAAGGGCGCGUAGGCGGCCUGGCAAGUGGAAGGUGAAAUCCCUCGGCUUAACCGAGGAACUGCCUCCCAAACUGCUUGGCUUGAGACCGGGAGAGGUGAGUGGAAUUCCCAGUGUAGCGGUGAAAUGCGUAGAGAUCGGGAGGAACACCAGAGGCGAAGGCGGCGACCUGGACAGUUACUGACACUCAACUACGAAAGCGUGGGGAGCAAACAGG